This 913-nucleotide ribosomal RNA is filed under the name Botryotinia draytonii. RNAcentral describes it as "LSU rRNA". It matches the Rfam family "Eukaryotic large subunit ribosomal RNA", at positions 35 to 965 of the family's 3401-position model. The record is from RNAcentral. Lineage: Eukaryota; Fungi; Ascomycota; Leotiomycetes; Helotiales; Sclerotiniaceae.
UAAGCAUAUCAAUAAGCGGAGGAAAAGAAACCAACAGGGAUUACCUCAGUAACGGCGAGUGAAGCGGUAAAAGCUCAAAUUUGAAAUCUGGCUCUUUUAGAGUCCGAAUUGUAAUUUGUAGAAGAUGCUUCGGGUGUGGUUCCGGUCUAAGUUUCCUUGGAACAGGACGUCAUAGAGGGUGAGAAUCCCGUAUGUGACUGGAUACCUAUGCUCAUGUGAAGCUCUUUCGACGAGUCGAGUUGUUUGGGAAUGCAGCUCAAAAUGGGAGGUAUAUUUCUUCUAAAGCUAAAUAUUGGCCAGAGACCGAUAGCGCACAAGUAGAGUGAUCGAAAGAUGAAAAGCACUUUGGAAAGAGAGUUAAACAGUACGUGAAAUUGUUGAAAGGGAAGCGCUUGCAAUCAGACUUGCACUUGGUGUUCAUCAGGGUCUCGUACCCUGUGUACUUCAUCAAGUUCAGGCCAGCAUCAGUUUGAGUGGUUAGAUAAAGGCUUAGAGAAUGUGGCCCUCUUCGGGGGGUGUUAUAGCUCUAGGUGCAAUGUAGCCUACUUGGACUGAGGACCGCGCUUCGGCUAGGAUGCUGGCGUAAUGGUUGUAAGCGACCCGUCUUGAAACACGGACCAAGGAGUGUACCUAAUAUGCGAGUGUUUGGGUGUUAAACCCAUACGCGUAAUGAAAGUGAACGCUGGUGAGAACCCUUAAGGGUGCAUCAUCGACCGAUCUUGAUGUCUUCGGAUGGAUUUGAGUAAGAGCAUAUUGGGUGCGACCCGAAAGAUGGUGAUCUAUACGUGAAUAGGGUGAAGCCAGAGGAAACUCUGGUGGAGGCUCGCAGCGGUUCUGACGUGCAAAUCGAUCGUCAAAUUUGCGUAUAGGGCGAAAGACUAAUCGAACCAUCUAGUAGCUGGUUCCUGCCGAA